RNAcentral lists this long non-coding RNA (604 nucleotides) under Accipiter nisus (Eurasian sparrowhawk). RNAcentral's name for it is "lncRNA (ENSANIG00000005500.1)". The record is from RNAcentral. Lineage: Eukaryota; Metazoa; Chordata; Aves; Accipitriformes; Accipitridae.
ACUUUGCAUGUUAGGGGAAAACAUACACUACUUCUUUCUCAGGUAUAAUUUCAGCUGUAUCUGCUCUGCAUGGUGCUCCAGACCAGCAAACUCCUCAGAGUACUCCAAGGACAAAUCGGUCUUCUGUCACGCAGUGCACACAUGCUUUUCCAGAGGUAUCCAAUGCAACUUCUCAGGUUGACAGUGCUGAUUGGAGUAAACAAGCUGAGAAAACAAUACAUCUAGACAAAUCAAAUAAACUUCAGAACAAGGCCAGUGAGAGAACUGCUGAUUCAAUAUCCAUAAGUCAAGGAGAGAGUCAUCGUACACCUAAUGAUAAACCUAAUGAUAAAAACAUGCUAAAGCUAAAUUCCAAAAUUCUUCCAAGACAGGAUACAGGAUUUAAGAAUAUAGAUUCCUGGGUAAGCUUAUGUAAAACAAUGAUGCUUCCAGCUCCAAUAAAAACAUCUGCUGAGAGUUUCAAACAGUUCAGGAAAGCAGCAUUAAAGAAAAAGAGUGGGCAAGCACAGGAGUUAAAAAGGCCUCUGGUGCAAGCUGAGAGGGAAAUGCACAACCUUCCUCAAGAAAAAGAGAGGUUUGUAACCACGUAUGUUUAAAUAUUAUU